RNAcentral lists this ribosomal RNA (253 nucleotides) under uncultured bacterium. RNAcentral describes it as "partial 16S ribosomal RNA". It matches the Rfam family "Bacterial small subunit ribosomal RNA", at positions 524 to 776 of the family's 1533-position model. The record is from RNAcentral.
UACGUAGGGUGCGAGCGUUGUCCGGAAUUACUGGGCGUAAAGAGCUCGUAGGCGGCUUGUCACGUCGGGUGUGAAAGCCCGGGGCUUAACCCCGGGUCUGCAUUCGAUACGGGCUGGCUAGAGUGUGGUAGGGGAGAUCGGAAUUCCUGGUGUAGCGGUGAAAUGCGCAGAUAUCAGGAGGAACACCGGUGGCGAAGGCGGAUCUCUGGGCCAUUACUGACGCUGAGGAGCGAAAGCGUGGGGAGCGAACAGG